Molecule: ribosomal RNA, 253 nt
Filed under: uncultured bacterium
Lineage: Bacteria
Description: partial 16S ribosomal RNA
Rfam family: Bacterial small subunit ribosomal RNA
Source: RNAcentral
UACGAAGGGGGCUAGCGUUGCUCGGAAUUAUUGGGCGUAAAGAGCUCGUAGGCGGCUUGUCACGUCGGAUGUGAAAGCCCGAGGCUUAACCUCGGGUCUGCAUUCGAUACGGGCUAGCUAGAGUGUGGUAGGGGAGAUCGGAAUUCCUGGUGUAGCGGUGAAAUGCGCAGAUAUCAGGAGGAACACCGGUGGCGAAGGCGGAUCUCUGGGCCAUUACUGACGCUGAGGAGCGAAAGCGUGGGGAGCGAACAGG